Molecule: ribosomal RNA, 506 nt
Filed under: uncultured bacterium
Lineage: Bacteria
Description: partial 16S ribosomal RNA
Rfam family: Bacterial small subunit ribosomal RNA
Source: RNAcentral
AUUGAACGCUGGCGGCAGGCCUAACACAUGCAAGUCGAACGGUAACAGGAAGCAGCUUGCUGCUUCGCUGACGAGUGGCGGACGGGUGAGUAAUGUCUGGGAAACUGCCUGAUGGAGGGGGAUAACGACUGGAAACGGUAGCUAAUACCGCAUAACGUCGCAAGACCAAAGAGGGGGACCUUCGGGCCUCUUGCCAUCAGAUGUGCCCAGAUGGAAUUAGCUAGUAGGUGGGGUAACGGCGCACCUCGGCGACGAUCCCUAGCUGGUCUGAGAGGAAGACCAGCCACACGGGAACUGAGACCCGGUCCAGACUCCUACGGGGGGCAGCAGUGGGGAAUAUUGCACAAUGGGCGCAAGCCUGAUGCAGCCAUGCCGCGUGUAUGAAGAAGGCCUUCGGGUUGUAAAGUACUUUCAGCGGGGAGGAAGGUGUUGUGGUUAAUAACCGCAGCAAUUGACGUUACCCGCAGAAGAAGCACCGGCUAACUCCGUGCCAGCCGCCGCAGUAA